This 221-nucleotide ribosomal RNA is filed under the name Bacteroides caecigallinarum. RNAcentral describes it as "partial 16S ribosomal RNA". It matches the Rfam family "Bacterial small subunit ribosomal RNA", at positions 1 to 210 of the family's 1533-position model. Lineage: Bacteria; Pseudomonadati; Bacteroidota; Bacteroidia; Bacteroidales; Bacteroidaceae. The record is from RNAcentral.
ACAAUGAAGAGUUUGAUCCUGGCUCAGGAUGAACGCUAGCUACAGGCUUAACACAUGCAAGUCGAGGGGCAGCGGGAAGUUAGCUUGCUGACUUUGCCGGCGACCGGCGCACGGGUGAGUAACGCGUAUCCAACCUUCCGUUUACUCAGGGAUAGCCUUUCGAAAGAAAGAUUAAUACCCGAUGGUAUCUUAAUGACUCAUGUACUUAAGAUUAAAGAUUU